GGUCGGGGGCAGGGGUCCGUCAUUCAUUUGAUGUGCACCUAUUGUCCGCGUCCAUCCUCGGGGAGAACGUGUCUGGCAUUCAGUUGUUGGGCAUGGUUUCCUCGUCAUUUACUGUGAGCAAAAUAGAGUGUUCAAAGCAGGCUUAUGCCGUUGAAUACAUUAGCAUGGAAUAAUAAGAUAGGACCUCGGUCUAUUUUGUUGGUUGUAUUCGGAGGUA
Molecule: ribosomal RNA, 217 nt
Filed under: uncultured fungus
Lineage: Eukaryota; Fungi
Description: partial small subunit ribosomal RNA
Source: RNAcentral